RNAcentral lists this ribosomal RNA (253 nucleotides) under uncultured bacterium. RNAcentral describes it as "partial 16S ribosomal RNA". It matches the Rfam family "Bacterial small subunit ribosomal RNA", at positions 524 to 776 of the family's 1533-position model. The record is from RNAcentral.
UACGUAGGGGGCAAGCGUUGUCCGGAAUCAUUGGGCGUAAAGCGCGUGUAGGCGGCCAGAAAAGUCCGCUGUGAAAACUCGAGGCUCAACUUCGAGCUGUCGGUGGAAACUUUCUGGCUAGAGUCCGGAAGAGGAGAAUGGAAUUCCUGGUGUAGCGGUGAAAUGCGUAGAUAUCAGGAAGAACACCCGUGGCGAAGGCGGUUCUCUGGGACGGUACUGACGCUGAGGAGCGAAAGCAUGGGGAGCGAACAGG